Cuculus canorus (common cuckoo) is the source of this 2978-nucleotide RNA transcript. It is a transcript of the gene named copine 1, with no coding region annotated. The transcript has 18 exons. The record is from RefSeq and is a predicted model, not a curated record. Lineage: Eukaryota; Metazoa; Chordata; Aves; Cuculiformes; Cuculidae.
GCGCGGCGCGGGCCCCGUGGGCUCCGCUCUCCCCUCUCUCCCGCGCGUCCCUCGUCUAAAAGUUGGUUUUAAUUGGUUGCCCACAGGAUUGGCUUGGCUUCUGCUACUUGUUAAGAAAAAAACAUCUGUCUUUGCAGAUGGCUGCGUGUGUGACCCGAGUGGAGCUGUCUGUGUCCUGCCGGAGCCUCCUCGACAAGGACCUGGGCUCUCGCUCAGACCCGCUGUGCGUCCUGCUGCAGGACAUAGGUGGCCAGUGGGCAGAGCUAGAUCGCACAGAGAGGAUCAAGAACUGCCAAGACCCUGAAUUCUGCAAGAAACUGGUUGUGGACUACUACUUUGAGAAAGUGCAGAAGCUGAAAUUUGGCGUGUAUGAUAUCGAUAACAAGUCCUUUGAUUUAAACGACGAUGACUAUCUCGGAGGGGUUGAGUGCACACUUGGACAGGUUGUGUCCAGCUCGGUAUUCACCCGACCGCUGGAACUGAAGCAGGGAAAGCCAGCAGGAAAGGGCACCAUCACAAUUUCAGCAGAGGAGAUCAAAGACACCAGGGCCGUGUACUUGGAAAUUGAAGCCCGAAAUUUGGACAAAAAGGAUUUCUUGGGUAAAUCAGAUCCAUUUUUGGAGCUGUACAAGCAGACCGAUGCUGGAACAUGGCAGCUGGUGUACAGAUCAGAGGUGAUUAAGAACAACUUGAAUCCAUGCUGGAGGAAGUUCAGCGUUCCCUUGCAGACAUUUUGUGGUGGAGAUUUUAAUAAACCUAUCAAGGUACAGUGUGCGGAUCACGACAGCGACGGAUCACAUGACUUGAUAGGCACUUUUGAAACGAACCUGGCUCAGCUGCAGAAAGUGGGCGACGGCUCUCCGGUGGAAUUUGAAUGCAUUCAUCCUGAGAAAAAACAAAAGAAAAAGAGUUACAAGAACUCUGGUGUUAUUAGGAUAAAAUCCUGCAAGAUUGAGACCGAGUAUUCCUUUCUGGACUAUGUCAUGGGAGGCUGCCAGAUUAACUUUACAGUGGGCAUAGACUUCACUGGCUCCAACGGAGAUCCCAGGUCACCAGAUUCUCUUCACUAUAUCAGCCCAGAUGGGAUAAAUGAGUACCUGAUUGCCAUCUGGAGUGUGGGAAGUGUCGUCCAGGAUUAUGACACGGACAAGCUGUUUCCUGCGUUUGGGUUUGGAGCUCAGGUUCCUCCUAGCUGGCAGGUAUCGCAUGAAUUUGCUUUGAACUUCAACCCCAGCAACCCUUACUGUCAAGGGAUCCAGGGAAUAGUGGAUGCCUACCGCCAGAUCCUUCCGCAGAUCCGACUCUAUGGACCAACCAAUUUCUCUCCUAUUAUAAACCAUGUGGCCAGGUUUGCAGCACAUUCGGCACAACAAGGAACUGCUUCACAAUAUUUUAUCUUGCUGAUCAUCACAGAUGGAGAGAUCACGGAUCUGGACCAGACUAGGCAGGCGAUUGUUGAUGCCUCUAAGCUGCCGAUGUCCAUCAUCAUCGUUGGAGUUGGUGAAGCUGAUUUCAAGGCAAUGGAGUUCCUUGAUGGAGACAACGGUGUCCUGAAGUCCCUGACAGGAGAGCCAGCUGCACGAGACAUUGUCCAGUUUGUGCCAUUCCGACAGUUCAGAAAUGCUGAACAACCCCAACUUCUCUCAGCCUGUCCUUGGAUGGGAGGUGCUCCGGCUCUCAGAUCAUCUUCGUAGCCCUCAUCUGGACCUGUUCCAGUAGUCCCUAUAUACUUAUGUUGGGCAUUCCAGAACUGGACACUGAACUCCAGGCUCCGCGGGAAGCCCUUUCCCAGAUGGUUCUGGCUGAAGUGCCCAAGCAGCUGGUGUCGUACUACAAGUGGCAGGGCUGGCCGCCCGUGAAACCACCGGAGACAAAGAAGAUGUAGAUCGCAGCCUGGCCCUAACUGCCCGUGUCACUGGGGUUGAGAGAGCACUCCGCACCCACACCCUCGCUUGCAUACUGGGGGGCUCAGUGCCUCCUGAUUGCACCGUGCAACUAACUGUCCUAUCUGCUUGCACUCUGUAUCUUUGAUCUUUCCUGUUCUUAACUGGAAGACAAGUAAAUACAGAAAAACCACAACUGUUGGCAGUUCUUGUCAGAGUAAAAAACAACCUUCUUGGUUUACCACUUUGCAACAAUGACACAUUGUACCACCUCUGGUGGCUCCACAGGGCCCAUCCGCUGCUUGUACUGGAGUGGGUGUGUGCACAGAGCUGCUCAGGCAGUGCUGUUCAGUCGGGGGGGGGGUUGGUAGAAAUGUUUCAGGUGUGUUUGUAGUAAAUAUUUACCAUGUUCCUUCAUAGGCUUUUUCUCUUCUACCAAGAAGGGUUUUGGGAUUGGGUUCCCUUUUGUGCUGAUUGAUAUCAAAGCCUGGGUGGAUGCCUGAGGUGGUUCUUGUUGUGCCUCCAUAAAGUGCCAGUCUAUUUUUAUAUGUAGAGGUCUAUUUUUACAUUUCAGUGACCAUUCCCUGCAAUCAUUUUUUCAGUCACAUUUUUCUAUUUGGAAAAUUUGCUUCUGUGAUGGCCUCUUCCUUGGAGCCAUUGUUGUAAUUUAAGAACACUGCACUUUGCUUAUUUUAGGUGGGAAUGAUGAGGAUUAAUUUUGAAUUGGGGAGUGGGAUCAAUGAAUCACAUUAAUCAUAGAAUGACAGAAUGGUUUGGGUUGGAAGGCCCCUGCCAUGGGCAGAGACACCUCCCACUGGACCAAUGUGACUUUCAAAAAUCCAGCAACUUGAAACCCUGAAGUGAAGAUAUUUUGAGCGAUGUUGUUGUGUGACAGAAGUAGGAAAAGAAGUUGCUAUCUGUGGCUCUCCAAAGAGGUGCUUUGUUGUCCUCAGAAGUGGGGGAAGGGUCUGAGGACCGUAGAGCACCACAGCAGAGCAACGCACAGUGGUUUCGAGAUAAGAGUUAGAUGCUUGGGCUUGUCAUUGCACUACAAGUGGUCAUCACUUUCAGCUUCAUAAAUAAAUAAUCUGUUUU